This 443-nucleotide ribosomal RNA is filed under the name bacterium CPTAC92. RNAcentral describes it as "bacterial SSU rRNA". It matches the Rfam family "Bacterial small subunit ribosomal RNA", at positions 955 to 1387 of the family's 1533-position model. The record is from RNAcentral.
UUUUGACGGAAGAACCUCCCACCCUUGACAUCCCGAUGGGAAUACGAGAGAUGUAUCCUUCAGUUAGGUGGAUCGGUGACAGGUGCUGCAUGGCUGUCGUCAGCUCGUGUCGUGAGAUGUUGGGUUAAGUCCCGCAACGAGCGCGACCCUCGCCCUUAGUUGCCAUCAUUCAGUUGGGCACUCUAAGGGGACUGCCGGUGAUAAGCCGAGAGGGAGGUGGGGAUGACGUCAAGUCCUCAUGGCCCCUACGGGCUGGGCUACACACGUGCUACAAUGGUGGUGACAGUGGGGAGCGAGACCGCGAGGUCUAGCUAAUCUUCAAAACCAUCUCAGUUCUGAAUGCACUCUGCAACUCGAGUGCAUGAAGUUGGAAUCGCUAGUAAUCGUGGAUCAGAAUGCCACGGUGAAUACGUUCCCCGGUCUUGUACACACACACAAAAAAA